GAACGCGAAAGGGGAGCAAUCCCUGAGUAGAGUGGCAAACGGGUGAGUAACACGUGGGUGACCUGCCUUCGAGUGGGGGAUAACGUCCCGAAAGGGACGCUAAUACCGCAUGACAUCCUGCUUUUGGAAAAGCGGAGAUCAAAGCUGGGGAUUCGCAAGAACCUAGCGCUUGAAGAGGGGCCCGCGCCUGAUUAGCUAGUUGGUGAGGUAACGGCUCACCAAGGCUACGAUCAGUAUCCGGCCUGAGAGGGCGGACGGACACACUGGGACUGAGACACGGCCCAGACUCCUACGGGAGGCAGCAGUGGGGAAUUGUUCGCAAUGGGCGCAAGCCUGACGACGCAACGCCGCGUGGAGGAUGAAGAUCUUCGGGUCGUAAACUCCUGUCGAGUGGGAAGAAUUGCUUCAGGGUGAAUAUCCCUGAAGUUUGACGGUACCACUAAAGGAAGCCCCGGCUAACUCCGUGCCAGCAGCCGCGGUAAUACGGGGGGGGCAAGCGUUGUUCGGAAUUACUGGGCGUAAAGGGCUCGUAGGCGGCCAACUAAGUCGGAUGUGAAAUCCCCAGGCUCAACCUGGGAACUGCAUCCGAUACUGGAUGGCUUGAAUUCGGGAGAGGGAUGCAGAAUUCCAGGUGUAGCGGUGAAAUGCGUAGAUAUCUGGAGGAAUACCGGUGGCGAAGGCGGCAUCCUGGACCGACAUUGACGCUGAGGAGCGAAAGCUA
Molecule: ribosomal RNA, 721 nt
Filed under: uncultured bacterium
Lineage: Bacteria
Description: bacterial SSU rRNA
Rfam family: Bacterial small subunit ribosomal RNA
Source: RNAcentral